Molecule: ribosomal RNA, 497 nt
Filed under: uncultured bacterium
Lineage: Bacteria
Description: partial 16S ribosomal RNA
Rfam family: Bacterial small subunit ribosomal RNA
Source: RNAcentral
GAUGAACGCUGGCGGCGUACCUAAUACAUGCGAGUCGAGCGAACGGACGAGAAGCUUGCUUUUCUGAUGUUAGCGGCGGACGGGUGAGUAACACGUGGAUAACCUACCUAUAAGACUGGGAUAACUUCGGGAAACCGGAGCUAAUACCGGAUAAUAUUUUGAACCGCAUGGUUCAAAAGUGAAAGACGGUCUUGCUGUCACUUAUAGAUGGAUCCGCGCUGCAUUAGCUAGUUGGUAAGGUAACGGCUUACCAAGGCAACGAUGCAUAGCCGACCUGAGAGGGUGAUCGGCCACACUGGAACUGAGACACGGUCCAGACUCCUACGGGAGGCAGCAGUAGGGAAUCUUCCGCAAUGGGCGAAAGCCUGACGGAGCAACGCCGCGUGAGUGAUGAAGGUCUUCGGAUCGUAAAACUCUGUUAUUAGGGAAGAACAUAUGUGUAAGUAACUGUGCACAUCUUGACGGUACCUAAUCAGAAAGCCACGGCUAACUACGUG